UGAAAUGCAAGAAUGGCUGACUCUAUAAAUAGAUUCAAAAUCAGAAGAUCAAGCAUCGGUGAAAUCUUGCAGUAUAGAGUCUUAAGCAAAUCCUUCUUUCUUUCAAGCACUCUUUGUAUUCAACUACUUUUGUAUCAUUCUCCAAAUAUUUUAAUAAGAAGGUCAAAGUUUACGAGGAUUCUACAAUCAACAGCUUCCGUUAUCAAAAGCAAC
This 213-nucleotide long non-coding RNA is filed under the name Coffea arabica (coffee). RNAcentral's name for it is "long non-coding RNA (CARA_LNC003704)". Lineage: Eukaryota; Viridiplantae; Streptophyta; Magnoliopsida; Gentianales; Rubiaceae. The record is from RNAcentral.